This 253-nucleotide ribosomal RNA is filed under the name uncultured bacterium. Its description in RNAcentral is "partial 16S ribosomal RNA". It matches the Rfam family "Bacterial small subunit ribosomal RNA", at positions 524 to 776 of the family's 1533-position model. The record is from RNAcentral.
UACGUAGGGGGCAAGCGUUGUCCGGAAUCAUUGGGCGUAAAGCGCGUGUAGGCGGUCCGGUAAGUCCGCUGUGAAAGUCGGGGGCUCAACCCUCGAAUGCCGGUGGAUACUGUCAGACUAGAGUACGGAAGAGGCGAGUGGAAUUCCUGGUGUAGCGGUGAAAUGCGCAGAUAUCAGGAGGAACACCCAUUGCGAAGGCAGCUCGCUGGGACGUUACUGACGCUGAGACGCGAAAGCGUGGGGAGCAAACAGG